This 252-nucleotide ribosomal RNA is filed under the name uncultured bacterium. Its description in RNAcentral is "partial 16S ribosomal RNA". It matches the Rfam family "Bacterial small subunit ribosomal RNA", at positions 524 to 776 of the family's 1533-position model. The record is from RNAcentral.
UACGGAGGAUGCGAGCGUUAUCCGGAUUUAUUGGGUUUAAAGGGUGCGCAGGCGGCACGGCAAGCCGGCGGUCAAAUCGCGGGGCUCAACCCCGCCCAGCCGUCGGAACUGCCGGGCUAGAGUGGGCGAGAAGUGCGCGGAAUGCGUGGUGUAGCGGUGAAAUGCAUAGAUAUUAGGAGGAACACCAGUUGCGAAGGCGGCUCUCUGGACUGUAACUGACACUGAGGCACGAAAGCGUGGGGAGCAAACAGG